This 253-nucleotide ribosomal RNA is filed under the name uncultured bacterium. RNAcentral's name for it is "partial 16S ribosomal RNA". It matches the Rfam family "Bacterial small subunit ribosomal RNA", at positions 524 to 776 of the family's 1533-position model. The record is from RNAcentral.
UACGGACGGGGCGAGCGUUGUUCGGAAUCACUGGGCGUAAAGCGCACGCAGGCGGAUUGAUAAGUCAGGGGUGAAAUCCCGGGGCUCAACCUCGGAAUUGCCUUUGAUACUGUCUGUCUUGAGUCCGGGAGAGGUGAGUGGAAUUCCUAGUGUAGAGGUGAAAUUCGUAGAUAUUAGGAAGAACACCAGUGGCGAAGGCGGCUCACUGGCCCGGUACUGACGCUCAUGUGCGAAAGCGUGGGGAGCAAACAGG